Molecule: long non-coding RNA, 359 nt
Organism: Corapipo altera (White-ruffed manakin)
Lineage: Eukaryota; Metazoa; Chordata; Aves; Passeriformes; Pipridae
Exons: 3
Source: RefSeq, a predicted model, not a curated record
UCCGCCCCUACCCCCGCCCCGGGGCGUCCUCGGGCGACGGGGCGGUAACGGGAAGAAAUGCGGAAAUUUUUCGUCUUCGCGCAAAAUCGGGGCGGUUGUCGGGCAGGGUGGGGUGGAGGCCGUGAGCUGGAUGGUUUGGGGGAAAGGCUUGCUCGGGUGCUGACAAGUCAUUCUGCUGACUUCUCCCAGCUCAGCUGUUUAAAACACAGUCUGCACACGCAGGAGUAAGCUGAAGGUACAGCUGAAGAUCUGUAGACUUAGAGAAGGUUCGAAACCAUGGAAAGCCUGUGUGCAGCAAAUACCACUUUUGCCCUGGACCUCUUAAGAAAGCUGUGUGAGAAGAAAAGUGGUCAGAAUCU